UAUCUUAUUAGUAUAAGCAUAAUUACAUUUAAUUUCCAAUUAAAAAAUUUUUAAAAAAUAAGCUAA
This 66-nucleotide transfer RNA is filed under the name Hypoaspis linteyini. RNAcentral's name for it is "tRNA-Gly". The record is from RNAcentral. Lineage: Eukaryota; Metazoa; Arthropoda; Arachnida; Mesostigmata; Laelapidae.